Canis lupus familiaris (dog) is the source of this 3207-nucleotide long non-coding RNA. RefSeq lists it as uncharacterized. The record is from RefSeq and is a predicted model, not a curated record. The transcript has 3 exons. Lineage: Eukaryota; Metazoa; Chordata; Mammalia; Carnivora; Canidae.
CGAUUUCAGAGAGACUACAAAUGACUUGGGACUCCUUGCUGCACGCACCAUGCACUGCAUCUAGUCAGCAUGAGGUAUGUUGGGAAUCUGUUGGACCAAUUACCUUGCACAAGAGAGGGGGUGCUCCUGCAACCGGAAGGGACCCAAGCUGCAGGCCACAUCCCUGAUUGGGCACCAACCCCCAUGCAAAGAAUAUGGCUUCAAGGAGGACCCCUAUCUCUGAGAAAUUAUAAUAGCGCUAACUGACGCAGUCAGGAAUGCAACUACCCAAUUUAUGUGCUACAAAAGUUUAAAAACUGUCAGGAGAUAGCACAGCUCACAUACUGAAGUUCUACACUGGUCUGUAAACUCCCUGACAAGAGACUACGCUAGGAGGGGUUAAGUACAGAUAUUGCUAGGUUUCCAAAGGAAAAGUUUUAAAACAGACACCGUGGCUUUGAAUAAAGUAUUGCUCUUCUUUAAAAUGCUCAGUCAUUGCUUUCCAAAAGAAGGUGUCAGAGUGGUGUAUCUGAUAGCUGGAAAGCCUCAGGGGGUCACAAUGCUCUUAAGACCAAAACAGAAAUUGCCAUUUCAAGCCAGACAACCUGAUGGUUCUAGAAGUCAGAGAAGAAAUCUUGAGGGCCCAAGUGAAUAAUAAGUGGCGCGACGCUCAGAGGCUGGCAAUAGGGGCUGUCAAUGAAAAAACCGCCUACAGUGGAGAAAAGAGCAGAGAAGCAACACUUGGUGUUAAUGUCACAGAAUUUGGUGAAGCCAAGAGCUUCAUUUAUAUUUCUCUGCUCUUUCAGCUGUAAGUGGAAUUUUCAUUACAAAAUGAAGGGGUGGGAAGGGCAGAAGGGGGGAGGGGGACACUUAAUUCAUUACAAAAUUUAAACAGUUGAACUUGCAUGGUUACCACUUCUAACAAAGGACUUGACAGCUCAAUUAUUUUAAGUAAAGCAGAGAAAUGUAAAAGUUUGCAGCAACUGGGCAGGUUUACAACAUGGUUAGUAACUUCCAACAAACAACAAAAUUAAAAAAAAAAAAAAGACUUGGUAGAAACCAUUUGAAAUGACUGCCAUCAUGUUGGAAAACAGCACAGCUCCCUUUUCACCAUCAUAGAGGGGUUAAAUUAUGAAGCUGAGUCAGCUACUUCAAAGAAUUUUCUAAAGAGAAAUCUCCAGGGAGAUUCCAACUUGGAAUGCAAAUUUGACAAUCAAUUUCAAAUAACAAUCUGGCUGCAGCUGCCAAUUAAUAGUAUUCCAAACACAGAGAGGACUAUUGUAAAUAUUGAAUUAAUAAAAACUGGACAUUACCAGCCAUGCUUUUUCUUCUCAGUGAUGGCUCUGUUUCAUCCAUAGGUCAGCAAAAUGAAUCAAUGAAACAUGACAACUCCCAGCUGCAAUGGGCCCUCUGGUUUAUGUCUAGCCACUAAUGCACAGGAUGAGAAUGCAGCACUCAACAAGAACUGGGACAAUUGAAGAGCAAGUAUUUAUGGGGACCCUGUUGCUGCUUUAGAUUCUGAUGUAAUUGAAGAGGAAAAGAGACCUUUCAAUGAAUCCCAGAAAAAUCGCUAAUCUUCUAUCUGCAUGAAAAAAGCCAGGGAAGUGAACACAGUAUCUUACAGAGUGAAGAAGGCCACAAGAACAAGAGAGGUUAUGAAAUCAAAUGAAGCUUCCAUUUAGCAGUGUCUUAAGGACCCAUCAUUUUCAUCUGAACAAAAAUGGAAAAGCUGAUGCAUGAAGAGAGAAAGCAUAAUGAAGGGUCCUGAGGCUCGUGUGGAGGACUAAUGCCACAAGUACUAGGAUAUUCAAAGUCCUUCCCCGCUAUGCACAUGCACGCCCAGCCCAGGGUCACACCAAUACACACUCACACAUGCACACACAUGCUCUUUUCUUCUCCAAUGGCAAAUAUCCUGCAGAUGGCUGACCUAUAACAUGUAGCGCCUGAGUUAGGGAAAAUGUCUAAAAGGGCAUAUCACUGACUCCAAACCUACUGCCUCCAUUGCCACAUAAACCUCAUUCAAAAGUUAUCCAAAGGGCCACUGAGGUUCAUUUCUGCAGAUGCUUUUAUUUUUUAUUUUUGGAGGGAGAGGAGACACUCCUAGGAUUUUAUAACAUGUACCACAGACUUUGUGCAGUAAGCACUUUAGUAACACUGCUGGUGACACCCCAUCGCCACGCUAGGGCCCAUUUAUGUCACCUCUAAGGCAAAAUUUAUGGAAAAAGAUGAUGGCUACAAAUUUGAAGUGAACAUUUCCUAACCCUAACUCAAGUCACCUAGACAGUUUCAAGCCAGAAACUUCAAUGCAGCCAUGUAACCGGCAAGCAGCUGAGCUGGAAACCGGAUAUGGCCCUUCAGUAGCCUUUGAAUGGAGUAUAAGUUGGCUGUAAGAAGAACUACUUAAAAUAUUUAAUUUCAGUAUGUUCAGAAACAGGCAAUUAGAACAAGCAGUCCUUCAAUCAGGCAAAGCAGAGAGAAGAGCAACUCCAACCAAACCAAGAACCACAAGGUUGUGGCGUUUUCAAAGGGAAUUUAAGUUGGGUCACUAGAAUGAAUAGGUCUGAGAUCCUCCAUUUCAUUUAAAGAAACCCUGGAUACAAACUGUGCUUUAGACUGCUGUGACAGCAUUGCUAAGAGGAGAAAUCAGAAAGAUGGUGUACAUACCAUAGGCAGGGGCAGCUGUGCUGUAACCAUACGGUGCUCCAUAGCCUAGUGCAAAGAAGAAAGCAGAUCAGUCCAGAACAAAAGGCGACUAAUCAGUAUUCACAAGUACUGCCUGACCCAGCACCUCGGGCCCUGAAGACUUCUUCCAGAUAUUUGCAUGAAUGAGAACCAUUCUCCGAAUACCCCAAACCAUUCCUGCUUAGCAUGGAAGCUUUUUCCCACAACCUAUAAGGUUCUCCUGACCUACCAGAAUAUCCUGUCUUUCUCCUUGCACUUAUGACACUGUAUUAUAACUAUCAGCUCCUUGUCUGUGUCUCCCAUAGAGUGACAGACACCAAGUCUUAGACACUUUUGUAUCACCUCAACUUGGCAGGAGGUCUGGCCAAGUAGUAACAUAGUAACAACCCACUAUAAUUUGUUGAACAAAUCUGUCUCCUCUGGCUCAGCAGUUUAGGGCCGCCUUCAGCCCAGGGAGUGAUCCUGGGGACCGGACAUUGAGUCUCACGUCGGGCUCCCUGCAUGCAGCCUGCUUCUCCCUCUGCCUAUGUCUCUGUCUGUCUGUCU